AAGGAAACAUUUUAAACCAACGAAAUUGAAUCAAGAGACAAAAUUCAAAAGAAAAUAAAAAACUAUGGGAAAAAUAAGACCUAAACUUCUCCUAAAAAAUGUGAACGCCGGAAACACCAAUAAGAUCGGAUAGAUUUUACACCGAAGUCAAAACUAAUAGUAAAUCGACAGAGAGGAAAGCAAGAAGCCGCUGAAACCAGAGACAUAAGUACAAACACCAUCACACCUCACCCACCAGACCGAGAUAGCAAAAUGUACUAGGGACAAGGCAUAAACCUUGAAGAUCUACUAGAGAUAAUUAAAGCACUAGACACAAUCAGUAUCGAUUCUACUUGGGUUAGCUGAUUUUCGAGCCAUAAACUAUUUCGAUUCUCAGCUUUCACCCCCGGACUUUUGGGCCCUUAAAUUUCCACCAUCAACUUUCAUAUUCCCAAAAUUACAUCAUCUACUUUCGGAUUCAUGCUUAAACAUACAUUUCCAAUUGAACCAUUCAUUUAACCGGGAUUAACCACAAAUCCGCGUUUACUGUACCGCGAUUGCGAUUAACCCGACUAAUACCCAGACCCGUUAAGAAAACGACGUCGUUUUCAUUUCGUUUAACUCAUCAAAAAGAGAAAGAAAACGACGUCGUUUUCAUUCUUCUUCUUCUGCAAAAUCGAUUUGGUCGAUUAGGGUUCUUCAUUCGACAAUUUUAUAAGAAAAUGAGCACCAACAGCUACUACUCAUCCGCUUCCAGUUCAGGAUUUCGUGUCUGUCCUCCUGGUGUCCCCUCGAAAUGUUGGUGUGGAGAAGAGAUCAUUACAUUCACAUCGAAAACAAAGGAGAAUCCAUACCGGAGAUUCUACCGUUGUGCGAUAGCAAUGAAGGUACACAUUUCGAUUUUGUGAUAUAUUUGAUUGAUUGAAGGAGUAAAUGAUUGGAAAUUA
This 926-nucleotide small RNA is filed under the name Arabidopsis thaliana (thale cress). RNAcentral's name for it is "ATSL195640". The record is from RNAcentral. Lineage: Eukaryota; Viridiplantae; Streptophyta; Magnoliopsida; Brassicales; Brassicaceae.